GGUUAUUUUUACAUUGAGCCCCCACCUGUCGCUUAUGGGUAGGGGCUGGAGGGAGGGUACAAUAGGUUCCCGCCAUUGUCAUUUAGGCAUUCAACUACAACUCAUGAGUGGGGGACAAUUGGUUCCCCCCCAUUGUCAUUUAGGUCCCCCACCCACCGCUCAUGAGUGGGGGCCAAAGGAGGGGACAAUAGGUCUACCCCCCCAACAUUGUCACUAGGGACCCUACCU
Non-coding RNA from Pelobates cultripes (western spadefoot toad), 228 nucleotides. The record is from the annotation of a GenBank genome assembly. NCBI's taxonomy places the organism in Eukaryota, Metazoa, Chordata, Amphibia, Anura, Pelobatidae.